CAAAUUAGAGCUUGAGAUAAGUAUUUCAUUUACAUUGAAAGGAUAUUAUAUUUAUAAUUAAUUUGA
Molecule: transfer RNA, 66 nt
Filed under: Marumba saishiuana
Lineage: Eukaryota; Metazoa; Arthropoda; Insecta; Lepidoptera; Sphingidae
Description: tRNA-Val
Source: RNAcentral